AUUGAACGCUGGCGGCAUGCUUUACACAUGCAAGUCGAACGGUAACAGGGAGCUUGCUCCGCUGACGAGUGGCGAACGGGUGAGUAAUGCAUCGGAACGUACCCAGUCGUGGGGGAUAACGUAGCGAAAGUUACGCUAAUACCGCAUACGUCCUGAGGGAGAAAGCGGGGGACCGUAAGGCCUCGCGCGAUUGGAGCGGCCGAUGUCGGAUUAGCUAGUUGGUAGGGUAAAGGCCUACCAAGGCGACGAUCCGUAGCGGGUCUGAGAGGAUGAUCCGCCACACUGGGACUGAGACACGGCCCAGACUCCUACGGGAGGCAGCAGUGGGGAAUUUUGGACAAUGGGCGAAAGCCUGAUCCAGCCAUGCCGCGUGAGUGAAGAAGGCCUUCGGGUUGUAAAGACUCUUUCAGGUGGAAAGAAACUUACCGGUGAAUACCCGGAGGAGUGACGGUACCGA
Molecule: ribosomal RNA, 457 nt
Filed under: uncultured bacterium
Lineage: Bacteria
Description: bacterial SSU rRNA
Rfam family: Bacterial small subunit ribosomal RNA
Source: RNAcentral